This 367-nucleotide ribosomal RNA is filed under the name Pseudobutyrivibrio sp. YE44. RNAcentral describes it as "bacterial LSU rRNA". It matches the Rfam family "Bacterial large subunit ribosomal RNA", at positions 2557 to 2925 of the family's 2925-position model. The record is from RNAcentral. Lineage: Bacteria; Bacillati; Bacillota; Clostridia; Lachnospirales; Lachnospiraceae.
AGCAGGUCCCAAGGGUUGGGCUGUUCGCCCAUUAAAGCGGUACGCGAGCUGGGUUCAGAACGUCGUGAGACAGUUCGGUCCCUAUCCGGCGCGGGCGGAGGAUAUUUGAGAGGAGCUGCCCCUAGUACGAGAGGACCGGGGUGGACGGACCACUGGUGUAUCAGCUGUCGACCAACGGCAUAGCUGAGUAGCCAAGUCUGGACGGGAUAAACGCUGAAGGCAUCUAAGCGUGAAGCCCCCCUCAAGAUGAGAUAUCCCCUCCUUCAAGGAGAUAAGAUCCCUUAAAGACGAUAAGGUAGAUAGGUUCAAGGUGUAAGUGUAGUAAUGCAUUCAGCUGAUGAAUACUAAUAGAUCGAAGGUUUAUUCU